GAUGAACGCUGGCGGCGUGCCUAAUACAUGCAAGUCGAGCGAACGGACGAGAAGCUUGCUUCUCUGAUGUUAGCGGCGGACGGGUGAGUAACACGUGGAUAACCUACCUAUAAGACUGGGAUAACUUCGGGAAACCGGAGCUAAUACCGGAUAAUAUUUUGAACCGCAUGGUUCAAAAGUGAAAGACGGUCUUGCUGUCACUUAUAGAUGGAUCCGCGCUGCAUUAGCUAGUUGGUAAGGUAACGGCUUACCAAGGCAACGAUGCAUAGCCGACCUGAGAGGGUGAUCGGCCACACUGGAACUGAGACACGGUCCAGACUCCUACGGGAGGCAGCAGUAGGGAAUCUUCCGCAAUGGGCGAAAGCCUGACGGAGCAACGCCGCGUGAGUGAUGAAGGUCUUCGGAUCGUAAAACUCUGUUAUUAGGGAAGAACAUAUGUGUAAGUAACUGUGCACAUCUUGACGGUACCUAAUCAGAAAGCCACGGCUAACUACGUGCCAGCAGCCGCGGUAAUACGUAGGUGGCAAGCGUUAUCCGGAAUUAUUGGGCGUAAAGCGCGCGUAGGCGGUUUUUUAAGUCUGAUGUGAAAGCCCACGGCUCAACCGUGGAGGGUCAUUGGAAACUGGAAAACUUGAGUGCAGAAGAGGAAAGUGGAAUUCCAUGUGUAGCGGUGAAAUGCGCAGAGAUAUGGAGGAACACCAGUGGCGAAGGCGACUUUCUGGUCUGUAACUGACGCUGAUGUGCGAAAGCGUGGGGAUCAAACAGGAUUAGAUACCCUGGUAGUCCACGCCGUAAACGAUGAGUGCUAAGUGUUAGGGGGUUUCCGCCCCUUAGUGCUGCAGCUAACGCAUUAAGCACUCCGCCUGGGGAGUACGACCGCAAGGUUGAAACUCAAAGGAAUUGACGGGGACCCGCACAAGCGGUGGAGCAUGUGGUUUAAUUCGAAGCAACGCGAAGAACCUUACCAAAUCUUGACAUCCUUUGACAACUCUAGAGAUAGAGCCUUCCCCUUCGGGGGGCAAGGUGACAGGUGGUGCAUGGUUGUCGUCAGCUCGUGUCGUGAGAUGUUGGGUUAAGUCCCGCAACGAGCGCAACCCUUAAGCUUAGUUGCCAUCAUUAAGUUGGGCACUCUAAGUUGACUGCCGGUGACAAACCGGAGGAAGGUGGGGAUGACGUCAAAUCAUCAUGCCCCUUAUGAUUUGGGCUACACACGUGCUACAAUGGACAAUACAAAGGGCAGCGAAACCGCGAGGUCAAGCAAAUCCCAUAAAGUUGUUCUCAGUUCGGAUUGUAGUCUGCAACUCGACUACAUGAAGCUGGAAUCGCUAGUAAUCGUAGAUCAGCAUGCUACGGUGAAUACGUUCCCGGGUCU
Molecule: ribosomal RNA, 1372 nt
Filed under: uncultured bacterium
Lineage: Bacteria
Description: bacterial SSU rRNA
Rfam family: Bacterial small subunit ribosomal RNA
Source: RNAcentral